CAAUUUUGUGCAACUCAUCCAUUUCUAAUAGGAAACAAGAUUGGGAAAAAAAUUUAGUUUAUCUGUAGCAACGAAGGAAGACUUCUAUUAUCCCUAUAUAUCAUCAGAUAAUCGGCGCCUGCUUCGUCUUCCACCACAGUCCAUCUCUCUCUAUUUCGAUGAUGCAACUUGACAUUGUGUGUUCAUUAAGGGACGGAAUAGAGAUAGUACCACAUUUUCACUAUAUCCAAGAAGAAGAAGAUUGUUGGGUUCUCCUCCUUCCUCUAUAUAUAUCAUCAUAUAAUUGGCGUCUGCUUCGUCUUCCACAACAGUCCAUCCCUCUCUCUUUCGAUGAUGCAACUUGACAAUGUGUGUUCAUUAAGGGAUGGAAUAGAGAUAGUACCACAUUUCUACUAUAUCCAAGAAGAAGAAGCUUGUUGGGUUCUCCUCCUUCCUAUGUUCUAAGAUCGAGAAUUGACAUGGAUGGCUUAAAGGGAUGCUGCAUGUGCAAUUCGUUGUGCACUGUUUUAACUUGUAACCUCAUUUUGCUUUAAAUGGAAGGCAAAUGACAAGCUUGAACAGUUGUUGCCUUUUGAAGGACCAUUCAUGUCCGAGUGAUAUACAUUAAACUUUUUGGGCUGUUUUAUAGGCCGAAGCGAUCGGUUACGUAAUGACCCGUUGUCGUCUAUAUAAAAUUUACAGGCCUAACCUUAUUAGGCCCAAAAUAU
Long non-coding RNA from Populus trichocarpa (black cottonwood), 707 nucleotides. RefSeq lists it as uncharacterized. The record is from RefSeq and is a predicted model, not a curated record. NCBI's taxonomy places the organism in Eukaryota, Viridiplantae, Streptophyta, Magnoliopsida, Malpighiales, Salicaceae. The transcript has 3 exons.